CUAUGGAUAGUAUAUUUUGGAGGUACGCAAAGUUUUGGGUUUUGUAGUGCAGGUUCGUUACCUUGCUCCGUAGG
RNAcentral lists this transfer RNA (74 nucleotides) under Phelsuma laticauda (broad-tailed day gecko). Its description in RNAcentral is "tRNA-Gln". Lineage: Eukaryota; Metazoa; Chordata; Lepidosauria; Squamata; Gekkonidae. The record is from RNAcentral.